Molecule: ribosomal RNA, 1998 nt
Filed under: Acrasis takarsan
Lineage: Eukaryota; Heterolobosea; Eutetramitea; Acrasida; Acrasidae
Description: bacterial SSU rRNA
Rfam family: Eukaryotic small subunit ribosomal RNA
Source: RNAcentral
CUGGUUGAUCCUGCCAGUAAUAUAUGCUUGUCUCAAAGACUAAGCCAUGCACACGUAAGAUCAGACAUAGGUCGAAAGGCCAAUUGUCAAUCUGUGGACGGCUCAUUAUAACAGUUAUACUCGUAGCCACUGGUACGGAAACCAUUCGUGGUAAGGAUAACUCUGUUAACUGCAGCGAUAAUACUUAUAGACAGAGCAGGUGUAAACCUGCUGGCAUUAGGGUCUGGAGGAAACAGCCCUAUUAUAACUCCGCACUUGUGUGGAGGUCGACCAUCAGUCCGCAAGGGUUGGUUAGUUUAUUAAGGUUCAAUAAGACUUUGAUUGAAUUAGUCAYAUCUGAUGGCCAGGAAGACGAAUUUCUUAUCUAUCAGCUCAAGUUGUCUCGGUAAGGGCAAGACAAGGCUAUGACGGAUACGGAGAAUCAGUGUUUGAUUCCGGAGAGGGAGCCUUAAAAAUGGCUACUACAUCUAAGGACGGCAGCAGGCGCGAAAAUUGCCCAAUCUUAAUUCAAGGAGGCAGUGACAAGAAAUAACAGCUCUGCACCAUUCGGUGAAGAGGUACUAUUUAUAGUUUGGAAUGAUUUUAGAUUAAAAUUCUAUUAGAAACGACUAGAGGAAAAGUCUGGUGCCAGCACCCGCGGUAAUUCCAGCUCUAGUAGCGUAUAUUAAUACUGUUGUAGUUAAAACGCUCGUAGUUGACCUAAGAGUCUUCGGUGUAAGCGCGCGAGCUGCAGCCAGUUCUUGAUUGCUGUGUUAUAGCAGAGGUCGGGAAUUGGGUUCUGCGGAUCAUCUAAUGCACACGUUCGCGUGACGCAUGCGUGCCCACUGAGGAUUCGCUCCUACCAAUUUAUUGGUAGGCAAUUUUGUACAACUGUAAACAAAUCAGAGUGCUCAAAGCAGGCAUUGUCUGGGGUUUCGGCUCCAAUUUUGCUUGAAUGAUUUAGCAUGGGAUUGUCUUUCAGCCGUGCUGGUAGCAAUACCGGCAUGGCGCUUGUAAUGUGGAAGAGGGAGAGGGCUCAAGUACUAUAGUGCUAGAGGUGAAAUUUAGAUACCACUAUAUGACUACCAGAUGCGAAAGCUGUUAUGCCCACUACAUUCCAGUCGAUCAGGAACGAAAGUUAGGGGAUCGAAGAUGAUUAGAUACCGUCGUAGUCCUAACUAUAAACGAUACCAACAAGAGAUUGGUAGUGAAAUCAUAUAAUAAUCCUCUCAGCAUCCAAGGGAAACCUUAAGUUUUUGGGUUCUGGGGGGAGUAUAGUCGCAAGGCCGAAACUUAAAGGAAUUGACGGAAAGGCACCACCAGGAGUGGAGUUUGCGGCUUAAUUCGACUCAACGCGGGAAGACUCACCAGGUCAGGACAGAGGUAUGAUUGACAGGUUGAGAGUCUUUUCUUGAUUCUCUGGAUGGUGGUGCAUGGCCGUUCUUAGUUCGUGGAGUGAUUUGUCUUGUUAAUUCAGUUAACGAACGAGACCUUAACCUGCUAAAUAGCAACAAGCUGGUGCAASCCAGCCCGUWUCUAAGGUGUCCGUAUGGAUGCCUGUGAAAUUUGUUCCAGCGCUUCGGCGCUAGCUUCUUAGAGGGACAAUACUUCGUUUUUAUUAGAGUAAGGAAGUUUAAGGCAAUAACAGGUCUGUGAUGCCCUUAGAUGUCCUGGGCAGCACGCGUACUACACUGUUUAUACUAAUAAGUUUAUACAAAGUAAUCACUUUGUGGUUACUAGCCUUCUCCUUAAGGGAGUGGGRARUCUUUACAAACAUCAACAUGACAGGGAUAGCUGCUUGGAACUUUGGCUUGAACGAGGAAUUCCUAGUAAGCGUAAUUCAUUAUAUUACAUUGAUUACGUCCCUGCCUUUUGUACACACCGCCCGUCGCUCCUACCGAUGGGGUAGAAAGGUGAAUUUGACGGACAAGGGUCCCCUUUGGAAAUUAACUGAACCUUUUUAUCUGUAGGAAGGAGAAGUCGUAACAAGGUCUUCGUAGGUGAACCUGCAGAAGGAUC